CAAAUUGCAUAUCCAUAGCGGUAGCGUCCUGAAAUAUUCAAGAGGUUGUUACACAAAAGAAAGCAGCAGCAGAGCAGAGCAGAAUUGCAGAGAAAGAGCCGUUAUCCUUAGAUGUGAUAUUCGACUCAGCAAGCUUGAGAACAAGAAACCCUUGAUAAACGGCUUUAGUAGCUUAAGGUAUCAAUUAGAGGGAUGAGACGUGAUAGAAAUUCGACACUCUCAAGCAUUUUAACAAGUUUAAGGAAUAUGAAUCGCAAGACGUAAAAGAGGCUCCUACACUUGAUAGUCUGUGGUUGUUCAAAGGCAGCGUAUCCACUUUUUAUGUACAUGAAUAAGUUGAAUAGCGUACAGUUCCUCACGAUGUUAAAGAGAUUUUCUGAGCUAAGACUGUCGCUUACAGCCGCGAAGACUGCGUCUUGCAAUAACAUGUACUUAACCGGCAUUUUUUCCUCCCUUCAGCCAUCAUACUAUUGCUUUUCAUUGCAAUUAUUAGCAAACAUGUGAAGCAAUAGAAACAGUAUUAAUGGAACAGUUCAUAUGCGGCUAGAGAGUUGAAGUUUAAGAGAGUGGGAAAUGUUUUAGGAAAAAAUUUGAUUUGUUUUACGAGGCAAACGGUUAACACAAAGAAAUAAGGAGUAGAGUCAGUCGUCAAGCUAUUACAUAAAUUAGAGUUUACGUUGGUUCACUGAUUUUAUAAAGGCAUGAAAAUGAAACAGGGAAGGAAGUUGCCCUGCUUUGGAUACUUCUUUCUAAAUUUCAAGGAGACAUCUCCGAAUAAACUGCGAACUACAUGAAUAAAUGUUAAAUUGUCAACUGAAAUCAAUUACGCUUUAAUUUUUAUGUAUGAAACAGCUGCCAAGUUGAGACAAAUCCAUGACCACGUGCGUACGUGCGUGUUGGGUGAAUAAUUCAGCAUCUACCUUACACCCCCUGUCAAAACUUGGUGUAUAGGCACUUUGAGAACAGCGAAACUAACUUUGGACAGGGAGCGGUGGGGCGCAAGAUCUCAACAUCGUCUGUCCGGGAUUGUAGGUCACAUAUUAAAACAUUGCCUUGCUGCAUUUUCAUGCCAAAUUUAUUGCUUUUUCGUAUACUUCAAACCAAAGUUUAUUAUCGGACAUAUAUUCAGUCGGCAAAAAUGGAUAUACAGAGGACAAAUGCAAAUUUUGGGUUGUAGAGCAAACCUCCAAACCAAUUUUCGACCAUAAGCUGCUCAUACUAUGACUUGAAGGAGACAUCAUUGAGUUUAGUGAUAAACCACAUCAAUGAAAGUGACACUGCAUUUAAACGUGGUGGCUAAUUUGGAACGACUACAUCAAAGCCCGGACGGAGUUCAUUUUAAUGAGAAACUAUGGGGUCGUCCCAGUAAACUUUUCCUAUCUGUCCAUGAUAGAUUAGAGAAUGACACUUGCGCAUUUAAAGCGGAAUUCACGACAGGAUGUCGAUUCGUUUGCAUUCACGAACUUUAAAAUUUACCUUUAAGCGUUGCAGCAUGUUUUCCCUUUUUGGAAAGUUGUCUCUGUUUUGGAGUUGAAGGAAAAUACUGAGAUUCGAAGCUUCAUCUUUUGGAGCAACGUUUCGUUGUGGCAAAACAAACAAAAUAUGCAAGAAUUUUUGUGUGUGUUAAGAAUAGCAUUAAAAAAAUAUUUCCUAAAAUACUGCUUUCCAGGGCGAACAUAUAACUUACCCUUUCUGUCUUUGGGAGGCGAUCCUCGAAAUCGAUGUAGCUGUAAAAAGAGCUACGAUCAUCAGCGUCCCCAGUACCACUACCCGUCGUUUCGUCAAAUUGAAAUUUCAUUUCAGUUUUUGAAUCUUUGAAUGGCACGCACCAUGACGUUUGUAUUAAGACCAGCCAAAAUAAAACCGCGUAGCUUGCAUGUAAAAUGUUCUUAAACAUGAUUUGAAAUAAAACAACAAAAUCCAACGAAUCAGUAUACUCUAGCCAAGAGUGAAUGAAAAGUUGAGUAAUUGCCACGCGUAGAAAACGUUAAAA
Rhopilema esculentum is the source of this 1993-nucleotide long non-coding RNA. RefSeq lists it as uncharacterized. The record is from RefSeq and is a predicted model, not a curated record. NCBI's taxonomy places the organism in Eukaryota, Metazoa, Cnidaria, Scyphozoa, Rhizostomeae, Rhizostomatidae.